AAAGGUUACAAGGUUAUAGUACUUGAUAUCCCUUUAUUAUUUGAAGCCAAGAUGGAUAGAUGGACAAACCCAACAAUUGUCGUAUGGGUGGAUCCUGAAACACAACUUCAACGACUCGUUGCAAGAGAUGGACAGAGCGAUGACGAUGCUCAGAACAGAAUAAAUGCUCAAAUGGCAUUGGAUCUUAAAAGAGAUAAGGCAGACAUUGUGAUUGACAACACUGGAUCUCUUGAUGACUUGAACGAACGGUUUCGAG
RNAcentral lists this unclassified non-coding RNA (256 nucleotides) under Hevea brasiliensis (rubber tree). The record is from RNAcentral. Lineage: Eukaryota; Viridiplantae; Streptophyta; Magnoliopsida; Malpighiales; Euphorbiaceae.